UACUUGAUUGAUAUUUCUAGUAGCCAUAUGGUUGUCUCAAAGAUUAAUCCAUGCAUGUCUAAGUAUGAACUAAUUUAGAAUGUGAAAAUGUGGAUGGAUCAUUAAAUCAAUUAUAGUUUCUUUGAUGGUACCUUAUUGUACUUGAAUAACCAUACUAAUUCUAGAUCUAACACAUGCACCAAGUCUCGACUCUUUGGAAGGGAUACAUUUAUUAGAUAAAAAUACAACAUGGGAUUUCCCACUUCUUUGGUGAAUCACAAUAACUUGAUGGUUCACAUGACCCCUAUGUUGGCAAUGCUUCAUUCAAUUUUCUUCCCUAUCAAAUUUCGAUGGUAGGAUAGAGUCCUACCAUGGUGGCGAUGGGUGAUGGAGAUUUAUGGUUUGAUUUAGAGAGAGAUCCUAAGAAAUGACUACCACAUCCAAGGAAUCAAUAGCUCUAGAAAUUACCCAAUCCU
Molecule: non-coding RNA, 455 nt
Organism: Picea glauca (white spruce)
Lineage: Eukaryota; Viridiplantae; Streptophyta; Pinopsida; Pinales; Pinaceae
Source: Rfam